Molecule: ribosomal RNA, 600 nt
Filed under: uncultured bacterium
Lineage: Bacteria
Description: bacterial SSU rRNA
Rfam family: Bacterial small subunit ribosomal RNA (bases 1-527)
Source: RNAcentral
CCUACGGGAGGCAGCAGUAAGGAAUAUUGGUCAAUGGAGGCAACUCUGAACCAGCCAUGCCGCGUGCAGGAAGACUGCCCUAUGGGUUGUAAACUGCUUUUAUCCGGGAAUAAACCUGCUUACGUGUAAGUAGCUGAAUGUACCGGAAGAAUAAGGAUCGGCUAACUCCGUGCCAGCAGCCGCGGUAAUACGGAGGAUCCAAGCGUUAUCCGGAUUUAUUGGGUUUAAAGGGUGCGUAGGCGGCCUGUUAAGUCAGGGGUGAAAGACGGUAGCUCAACUAUCGCAGUGCCCUUGAUACUGAUGGGCUUGGAAUGGACUAGAGGUAGGCGGAAUGAGACAAGUAGCGGUGAAAUGCAUAGAUAUGUCUCAGAACACCGAUUGCGAAGGCAGCUUACUAUGGUCUUAUUGACGCUGAGGCACGAAAGCGUGGGGAUCAAACAGGAUUAGAUACCCUGGUAGUCCACGCCCUAACGAUGAACACUCGCUGUGCGAUACACAUNAGCGCGACGNGAAGACGUAGUGUCGUCGUGGUAGUUACGCGCGAGGUUAGAACGACGAGNGAGUUAGAGCGNGAGAGNGCGAGCGACGACGAGGAGGAGG